UGCUUAUUGGUAUUAUAAUAGUAAGUAAAUUCUGCCCAGUGAAAUUUUCAACGGCCGCGGUAUCUUGACCGUGCAAAGGUAGCAUAAUCACUUGCCUUUUAAUUGAAGGCUAGAAUGAAUGAAUAAACAAAGAGAGUCUUUAUUUCAUGCCCCCAUAAAAUUUAUUCUUCAGGUGAAGAAACCUGAAUUUUCUAAAAAGACAAAAAGACCCUAUCAAGCUUUAUAUUUCUUAUAUCCAUUACUAACAAAUAUUUGGUUGGGGCGACUAAUGAGAAUUUACCAUCUCUCAUUAUAUAAAAAGAUCCAUUUAUCUUAUUUAUUAAUAAUUUAAUAUAACAAAGCUACUGUAGGGAUAACAGGCUUAUAUUUUCUAAGAGUUCAAAUUAAAGAAAAUGAUUGGCACCUCGAUGUUGGCUUAGGGCACCUCUAUCUUGCAGAAGAGAUAAAAGGRAGUUUGUKCAACUUUUAAAACCCU
Molecule: ribosomal RNA, 475 nt
Filed under: Myrianida pentadentata
Lineage: Eukaryota; Metazoa; Annelida; Polychaeta; Phyllodocida; Syllidae
Description: partial 16S ribosomal RNA
Rfam family: Bacterial large subunit ribosomal RNA
Source: RNAcentral